Leptidea sinapis is the source of this 608-nucleotide long non-coding RNA. RefSeq lists it as uncharacterized. The transcript has 4 exons. Lineage: Eukaryota; Metazoa; Arthropoda; Insecta; Lepidoptera; Pieridae. The record is from RefSeq and is a predicted model, not a curated record.
UAUUGACAUAUUAGUGUCGUUCAUGAUUAAAGGAUAACAACCAUUUCUCUUUCGAAUUGUCUUCGCUAACGGCGUGGUUCCAUAAUGAAACUUUUAAAAAAUAGGCGUCGGAGCACAGUUGGCGUCCCAACGCUUACCUCUGUCGUUCGGAAAUCGUGCGCGCAGAACGUCGAGUUAUGUUACCCGAACUAGCAACGUUUUGGACUCCACUAUUACAUUCUUAAAACAUUUUCUACGAAGAAAAUUACGGCACCACCUCAUUGAUAACAUUACCGUUGAUAUGAUUAUGAUUAUGGAGGAACAUGCAUACAUUUAAGGUUCGGCUCACAAGCGCUUCCUCGUUCGCUGCAUCGCAUUCAUAACGUGAAAUUUAGAGCAGAUCACUGGUCCCGAGCUUCGAGCCUGCUUCUGGUUUCCUGCUGUGGUCUUCUGCUUCAAGCAACGGGCUGCCUGCUUCGGGCUUCGACUUCAAGCAACGGGCUGCCUGCUUCGGGCUUCGACUUCAAGCAACGGGCGACGUGCUUCGAGCUUCAGGUCUCGAGAAUCUACAAUAGAUGCCAACAGUUCCAAGAAUUAGUAGCUGUUAUCAAAACUCGCAUAGAACGAUA